CCCAGACUCCUACGGGAGGCAGCAGUGGGGAAUAUUGCACAAUGGGGGGAACCCUGAUGCAGCGACGCCGCGUGGGUGAAGGAGUACUUCGGUACGUAAAGCCCUAUCAGCAGGAAAGAAAAUGACGGUACCUGACUAAGAAGCCCCGGCUAACUACGUGCCAGCAGCCGCGGUAAUACGUAGGGGGCAAGCGUUAUCCGGAUUUACUGGGUGUAAAGGGAGCGUAGACGGCAGUGCAAGUCCGGAGUGAAAGCCCGGGGCUCAACCCUGGGACUGCUCUGGAAACUGUAAAGCUGGAGUGCGGGAGGGGCAGGCGGAAUUCCUGGUGUAGCGGUGAAAUGCGUAGAUAUCAGGAGGAACACCGGCGGCGAAGGCGGCCUGCUGGACCGUAACUGACGUUGAGGCUCGAAAGCGUGGGGAGCAAACAGGAUUAGAUACCCGCGUAU
This 446-nucleotide ribosomal RNA is filed under the name uncultured bacterium. Its description in RNAcentral is "bacterial SSU rRNA". It matches the Rfam family "Bacterial small subunit ribosomal RNA", at positions 330 to 793 of the family's 1533-position model. The record is from RNAcentral.